Molecule: long non-coding RNA, 1108 nt
Organism: Zea mays
Lineage: Eukaryota; Viridiplantae; Streptophyta; Magnoliopsida; Poales; Poaceae
Exons: 2
Source: RefSeq, a predicted model, not a curated record
UCGUCGUGUCAGGGACUCUUUAAUUACCAGAUUCUGACUAUAUAUUAUUACCGUCUGAUUCUUCACCUAUACCAGACGACCAAAAACAAAAGUGGUAGCGUGUCCAUCUCCGGUGGAAAUCCACAUAAUAAAAAGGAGGAAAGUGAUUCCAAUCUUAUAUAUUACAUAUAUACAUUUUAUAUAAGUUUUAGCUUGUCAUGAUUUGUGUAGGCACAAUAUUUAUUCUUCAGUUUUAGCUUCUCAUAAUUUGUGAUGAUCGGAGCUCGCAGCACGAUCGAUCGAUGUCUCCUCCGAGAUUCCAAUCUCCAUGCAACUAGCGGAAGAAGGAAGUGAUCAUCUGUUUAUACGCACGUCAAUGCAUAUGUGUUAGAGUGACCACUGUGACCUUCGUCGUGGAGAAGCAAGCUGAUCUGUAUUCAUCCGCUAUCCGUAUGCGGCCAUCCAAUCAGGCUCCAUAUGUUCUGAUCGUGAUGUACUGCCCGCUGCUGUGGCUACCCGAGUACCCGGUGACGCGGUCACGCGGAGGCACUCGACUGCGACGACGCGAACAAGCUCGGCUGCGGCGGCGCGGAGAAGCUUCGCCGGGAGGAGAAGCAACAACGCGGAGUCCCCCUCGGCUCCGGUGGUGAGGAGGAGCUUGGCCGGAGGAGGAGCAUCAGCGCGGAGUCCCUCGGCUCUGGCGCCGUGGAGGACGUCGGUUGCGGCGGCGCGGAGUAGCUCAGGUACAGCGGUGUCGAGGAGCUCGACAUCAGAGGAUGGGCACCAGCGUGGAGGAGGUAGGCUGCGGCGGCAUGGAGGAUCUGGGAUGCGGCGGCCUGGUGGAACAGCGUCGACGAAGCCACCGGUGGAACACCACACGAACAGGAAAAUAUUAUUUUCCCACGGUGUGAAGUGUAUGUGUAAAAUAUAUUUAUUAAUAUAAAUAUAAAAAUAAUUUGUAAUCUGUACACGACCUGUGUAGAGUAUAAGAUAUUGAUGAUGAAAUUUAGAAAACACUACGGGAGACGAUGAAUAUAUAGAUAUAGAAUUUUUUUAGAGGGUAUUGUAAAAGACAAUGAAUAUUUCUUAAGAGAAUAAAAUUUAUGGAACAUUGUUGUAUAUAAUCUAU